RNAcentral lists this ribosomal RNA (151 nucleotides) under uncultured ammonia-oxidizing bacterium. RNAcentral's name for it is "partial 16S ribosomal RNA". It matches the Rfam family "Bacterial small subunit ribosomal RNA", at positions 380 to 524 of the family's 1533-position model. The record is from RNAcentral.
AACCUGAUCAGCCAUGCCGCGUGAGUGAAGAAGGCCUUCGGGUUGUAAAGCUCUUUCAGCCGGAACGAAAAGGUUACGGUUAAUACCCGUGAUUACUGACGGUACCGGAAGAAGAAGCACCGGCUAACUACGUGCCAGCAGCCGCGGUAAU